Molecule: non-coding RNA, 125 nt
Organism: Aspergillus melleus
Lineage: Eukaryota; Fungi; Ascomycota; Eurotiomycetes; Eurotiales; Aspergillaceae
Source: the annotation of a RefSeq genome assembly
GGGCCUGUGGCGCAACGGUAGCGCGUUGUAAGUAAACCAAUGAGAUCAUCUCAAACAUCAUAUUCUAACAAUUCCAAUAGCGACUCCAGAUCGAAAGGUUAUCGGUUCAAAUCCGGUCGGGCUCA